This 304-nucleotide unclassified non-coding RNA is filed under the name uncultured fungus. RNAcentral's name for it is "sequence contains ITS2". The stretch from base 1 to 52 matches the Rfam family "5.8S ribosomal RNA", at positions 103 to 154 of the family's 154-position model. The record is from RNAcentral. Lineage: Eukaryota; Fungi.
AACGCACCUUGCGCUCCUUGGUAUUCCGAGGAGCAUGCCUGUUUGAGUGUCAGUAAAUUCUCAACCCCUCCAGCCUGUGUGUUGGUUUCAUGGGGCUUGGAUUAUGGAGGUGCUGCUGGCCUGGUUUACAGGUCAGCUCCUCUGAAAUGCAUUAGCGGAACCGUUUGCAAUCGGUCACAGGUGUGAUAAUUAUUUAUGCGCCAGUGGAUUGCUCUCUGUCUUGUUCAGCUGCCAACUGUUCAUAAAGGACAAUCAUUACUGAAUAUUUGACCUCAAAUCAGGUAGGACUACCCGCUGAACUUAA